RNAcentral lists this long non-coding RNA (1223 nucleotides) under Homo sapiens (human). RNAcentral describes it as "novel transcript". Lineage: Eukaryota; Metazoa; Chordata; Mammalia; Primates; Hominidae. The record is from RNAcentral.
CAUAGUAUACAAUUUAUUUCUCCAUGGGCAACAAGACAUGCCAGCAACUGCACGGCUACUUCUCCAUUUAGCCAUUUUUCCUCCUUUUCAGGACAGAGAAUAAAGGGUCCCUGUAUUCAUGCCUUCCUGGAAAUCUCAGUGCAAGGCCCUAUCAGGAGGUUUCCUGGAGCAGCUAAGGGAACAGCUAGACCACCCAGGAAGAAAUGACAGAAGCCUACCUGACUUCCAAUCUGCUUGCUUCAUGGUGUAAUGGGGGCCUAGACAGAAGCACCCCAAGGACACUUACAACAACUGUUCUGCCAGCUCUAGUCCAUUGGAGAAGAUGUGCCAACAUACCUUCUCACCAUCCCUAGAGCCCAACCUUGCUAUGGAAAGGUCAAACCCUUACCAUUGGCCCUGCCAAGGAUCCCCAGACAGAGAAGCACAAUGGAGGCCAUAAAUUAUGGCUUCUUAUCAUGGCCUCCACAUAACUUAAACUCUGGAUGGUGAAUGAAAUCUGGGGCCAAGUCUUAAAGGGUCAGGGUAGCCAAUGAGCAUAACUCAAUAUUUGUGUUUCUAAGAGAAAACCACAGAACCUCCAUAUCCAUGGCAAACUGGCCAGCCACAGGCUGGAUCCAGUGUGCAGUAGUGUUUUGUGUACACCAUUCACUAUUUGUCUACUUGGGUUAAAAAUGUUUUAUAUUAGUUAGCAAUGUUUAAACAUUGGGAGAAUUAAAGGGAAAUGAAAACGUACUUCCCACAAAUACUUGCACAUAAAUAUUCACAGCAGCAUUGUUUAUAAUUGCCCAAAACUAGAAACAACCCAAAUAUCCAUCAACUGAUGAAUGAUAAACAAGUUGUGGUAUAUUCAUCCAAUAAAACAAUAUUCAGCAAUAAAAAUAAACAAAUCAGGCACUUAAUAUAAUUGAAUAUCAAGGUCAUUAUGUUGAGUGAAAGAGGCCAGAAAAUAAAAGUAUACACUAUUUGAUUCCAUUUAUAUAAUAUUCUAGAAAAUGAAAACCAGUCUAUACUUACAGAAAACAAGGUGGUAGCUUACAGAGAUGGGGUAGAGGGAGGGAGAGAUGACAGAGAGGCAUAAAAAAACUUUCCGGACAAUGAAAAUGUUCUGUAUUUUAAUUGUGGUGAUGGUUUCAUGGAUGUACAAGUUCAUCAAAUCUCAUCAAGUUAAAUAUAUGCAUUUAUUUUAUAUUAAGUGUACCUCAAUAAAGCAGAAAAAUUUAAAA